Molecule: long non-coding RNA, 1907 nt
Organism: Ostrinia nubilalis (European corn borer)
Lineage: Eukaryota; Metazoa; Arthropoda; Insecta; Lepidoptera; Crambidae
Exons: 3
Source: RefSeq, a predicted model, not a curated record
UCAUCCGCAUAUUGCAGAAUUUUAAUAUUAUCAUAUAAGCUAGAAUCUAAAUCAUAUGUAUAAACAUUAUAUAAUAGUGGGCUGAGAACAGAGCCUUGCGGCAGGCCUUUCCAAACUGAUCGUGUAUCUAUCAUAUCAGAACCAGUUAGAGAGAUAUUACGGCCAUAUAAAGCAUUUAGGAUGAAAUUUGUAAAUUUCCAAGAAACCUGAAGGGCUAAAAGUUUCUGUUUUAAAACGUCUAUAAGUACAUUAUCAUAUGCGGCGGAAAUAUCCAAAAAAGUUGCAAGUACAGAUUCAUUAUUAGUGAAUGCUAGUCGGAUGUCAGAAAUAAAAAUACUGAUGCUAUCCAAUGUGCAUUUUCCUUUCCUAAAACCGUACUGACUAUCCGAUAUUAAGCCUUUACUUUCAAAAUGCCACUCUAAACGAUUUUUAAUAAGAUGUUCUAUUAGUUUUAAUAGGAUGGAUGAUAAGGCUAUAGGGCGAUAUGAAGAAGCGUCAGAUAGGGGUUUAUUCGGUUUACACACUGGCAACACUACUUGUGUUUUCCAUUCUGACGGGAGAGUUCCUGUGUUUACAAAUGAAUUGAUGAGCUGUAAAUAAUAACCUAAAAUGUUGUCACUGAGAUGAGUAAAGAAAGAAUAUGGUAUUCCGUCGGCCCCAGGGGCGGAAUCUUUAGUAUUAGACACAACUCCCUUUAAUUCAUAAAGGGAAAAGUCUGAAUCCAAUGCCAUGUUACUUACUGUGUGUGAGGAAGCCUCAUCGCUGACUAUGUUGUGUGGUACCCAAGGGGGAGCUAAUUUGGUUAAAAAGUCAUGAGCUAAUGUUUCUGGUAUUGAUGGACUAGAAAUAUCACUAAACACAGAUUUAAAUCUUCUAAUACUACGCCAAACUAUAGAUGAAGGAGUGUUGGGGGAUAUAGAAAGACAGAAGUUUUUCCAACUCUCAGAUUUCUUUUUUUUCAAUAAUUUAGAGUGCUUUAGGUUUAUUAUAUGGAAAGGAAAUUAAAAUAGGGAAAUGGUCACUUCCAUAUGAGGACGGCAGGGUGCGCCAGGUUAAGGAAGAGGCCAAACUUGGUGUACAAAUGGAGAGGUCAACUGCACUAACAUUUUGAUUUGGUGCUGUGAGGCGUGUGGGAGAGCCAGUAUUUAAAGUACAGAGGUUAUUACUGUCAAUUAUAUCAAGAAGUGCUUCACCAUAAUUGUUUGACACUGUACUACCCCAUGUCUGAUGGUGAGAGUUGAAAUCCCCUAAUAAUAAAAAUGGUCUUGGUAAGGAAGAGAUGAUCUGAUCAAUUUCAUUAAUAAUAGACAAAGAGGGAUGUGGAAUAUAUACAGAGGCUAUACAUAUAUUACAUACACUUACAGCUAAAAUAGAAAAAUCUUCACUAUGUACAGGCAAAUUUACAGGAGAGAAUGGGACGGAGUUCCUGAUGAAAAUAGCCACUCCACCAUAUCCAUCAGGUCUGUCUUCUCUAAGGCAAUGGGCUGGCAGAAACAACAUCCGCAAAGGAUUUGGAGGCAGGUGGAUGUAGCUUUGAGGCUUCCGCGUAUGAAACACAAUUAUGGGCCAUAUAAUGUUUUAUUUGCUUCUGGCGAGACAGCUCUGGACAAGCUUUGCUGGUGGCUAAAUGGGAACCGGAACAUAAGCAGCAAAAAGCGUUAUCUUCCUCCACCAUACAGGAGUCACCAGUGUGAUCAUGACCACACUUGUAACAGCGUGGUUUCGACCGACACUGUACCUUUGUGUGGCCAAAGCGGCAACAGUUGUAACACUGUAUGGUAGGGAAGAUAUAUAGUUCCACCGGAAGUGCAUUAUAGCAAAUAAAAAUACGCUUCGGCAAGACCUGGCCGUCGAAAGUGAUCACAGCAGAUUGUGACGGUUUCCAUACUGGUGUACCAUUAAUAAAG